RNAcentral lists this ribosomal RNA (466 nucleotides) under uncultured bacterium. RNAcentral's name for it is "partial 16S ribosomal RNA". It matches the Rfam family "Bacterial small subunit ribosomal RNA", at positions 28 to 507 of the family's 1533-position model. The record is from RNAcentral.
GAUGAACGCUGGCGGCGUGCUUAACACAUGCAAGUCGAACGGAAAGGCUCCUGCUUUCCGGGUUACUCGAUUGGCGAACGGGGGAGUAACACGUGGGUGAUCUGCCCUUCACUUCCUGAUAAGCCUUGGAAACUGGGUCUAAUACCCGAGAGGACGAUUGUUUGGAUGCCAUUGUGUAAAGGUUGUUCGGUGUGGGCUGAGCUCGCGGCCUAUCAGCUUGUUGGUGGGUUAAUGGCCUACCAAGGCGUCGACGGGUAGCCGGCCUGAGAGGGUGUACGGCCACAUUGGGACUGAGAUACGGCGCAGAAUCCUACGGGCGGCAGCAGUGGGGAAUAUUGCACAAUGGGCGCAAGCCUGAUGCAGAGACGCCGCGUGGGGGAUGACGGCCUUCGGGUUGUAAACUCCUUUCGCUAGGGACGAAGCGCAAGUGACGGUACCUGGAGAAGAAGCACCGGCUAACUACGUG